GAAGAACAAGAAAAGUCGUUCAGAUUGAAUCGUCGAUCACCCUCAAACUCAUGAUCAGAAGGAGGAAAGGAAUGAGGUAGACACUUGUAUAUUCGGAUCAAAACAAAUCCACCACAAACGUGACCGAUACGCACUGCUGUAAAACUCAUCUUUAGUUCUAGUUGGACCCUCAAACUCAUGAUCAGAAGGAGGAAAGGAAUGAGGUAGACACUUGUAUAUUCGGAUCAAAACAAAUCCACCACAAACGUGACCGAUAGGCACUGCUGUAAAACUCAUCUUUA
Molecule: long non-coding RNA, 281 nt
Filed under: Setaria viridis
Lineage: Eukaryota; Viridiplantae; Streptophyta; Magnoliopsida; Poales; Poaceae
Description: long non-coding RNA (SVIR_LNC004037)
Source: RNAcentral